Molecule: ribosomal RNA, 232 nt
Filed under: uncultured bacterium
Lineage: Bacteria
Description: partial 16S ribosomal RNA
Rfam family: Bacterial small subunit ribosomal RNA
Source: RNAcentral
UGAGGAACAUGACCUUCGGCGGGGGAUAGCCGGCCCAACGGCCGGGUAAUACCGCGUACGCCCUUCGAGCGGCAUCGCUUGAUGGGGAAAGUCGCAAGACGCCGAUGGAGAACUUCGCGGCCUAUCAGCUAGUUGGUGAGGUCAUGGCUCACCAAGGCGACGACGGGUAGCUGGUCUGAGAGGAUGGCCAGCCACAUUGGGACUGAGACACGGCCCAGACUCCGUAGGGAGG